CGGACGGUGAGUAACACGUGGAUAACCUACCUAUAAGACUGGGAUAACUUCGGGAAACCGGAGCUAAUACCGGAUAAUAUAUUGAACCGCAUGGUUCAAUAGUGAAAGACGGUUUUGCUGUCACUUAUAGAUGGAUCCGCGCCGCAUUAGCUAGUUGGUAAGGUAACGGCUUACCAAGGCAACGAUGCGUAGCCGACCUGAGAGGGUGAUCGGCCACACUGGAACUGAGACACGGUCCAGACUCCUACGGGAGGCAGCAGUC
Molecule: ribosomal RNA, 262 nt
Filed under: uncultured Staphylococcus sp.
Lineage: Bacteria; Bacillati; Bacillota; Bacilli; Caryophanales; Staphylococcaceae
Description: partial 16S ribosomal RNA
Rfam family: Bacterial small subunit ribosomal RNA
Source: RNAcentral